CUUAUAUGGGCCUGAUGAGUGUACUACGUUAACUCUCGCUUAAGCAUUUUGGUCCGUGGUUGAAGGACCAAAAUGGAGUUAUUGGCUAGUUAACUCAUCAGACUCGGGUCGUGACAUUUGGUAUCAGAGCUGACCUAGCAUUUGGGCACCACUGAGUUAAACCUCACAUGCACUAUGCUAGGGUUCGAUCUGGGAUAUGUUGGGCCUUGACGAGGACGUCAAGCUAAUUAAGUUGGGGAUAUUAUAACAUCUCAUUAGUCCCACAUCGGAAGUGAGCAAUGUGUAUGAU
RNAcentral lists this long non-coding RNA (289 nucleotides) under Musa acuminata (dwarf banana). RNAcentral describes it as "long non-coding RNA (MACU_LNC003291)". The record is from RNAcentral. Lineage: Eukaryota; Viridiplantae; Streptophyta; Magnoliopsida; Zingiberales; Musaceae.